Molecule: small nuclear RNA, 132 nt
Filed under: Lepidothrix coronata (blue-crowned manakin)
Lineage: Eukaryota; Metazoa; Chordata; Aves; Passeriformes; Pipridae
Description: U4 spliceosomal RNA (ENSLCOG00000004304.1)
Rfam family: U4 spliceosomal RNA
About the family: U4 small nuclear RNA (U4 snRNA) is a component of the major U2-dependent spliceosome.
Source: Rfam by way of RNAcentral
ACCUUUGUGCAGUGGCAGUAUCAUAGCCCAUGAGGUUAAUCUGAGGCACAAUUAUUGGUAGUUGAAAACUUUUCCCAAUAUUCCCGCCAUGGCAACUUGAAAUAUAGUUGACAAGGGCUUUAAACUAGGUUU